UAGGCUGUAGCUCAAUGGAAGAGCACUUGCCUAGCACAUGUGAGUCCCUGGGUUUGACCCUCAGCAGCAUAU
This 72-nucleotide transfer RNA is filed under the name Marmota marmota marmota (Alpine marmot). It matches the Rfam family "tRNA". From Rfam's summary of the family: Transfer RNA (tRNA) molecules are approximately 80 nucleotides in length. Their secondary structure includes four short double-helical elements and three loops (D, anti-codon, and T loops). Further hydrogen bonds mediate the characteristic L-shaped molecular structure. tRNAs have two regions of fundamental functional importance: the anti-codon, which is responsible for specific mRNA codon recognition, and the 3' end, to which the tRNAs corresponding amino acid is attached (by aminoacyl-tRNA synthetases). tRNAs cope with the degeneracy of the genetic code in two manners: having more than one tRNA (with a specific anti-codon) for a particular amino acid; and 'wobble' base-pairing, i.e. permitting non-standard base-pairing at the 3rd anti-codon position. The record is from Rfam by way of RNAcentral. Lineage: Eukaryota; Metazoa; Chordata; Mammalia; Rodentia; Sciuridae. RNAcentral also lists the same sequence under 1 other name.